AUCUUCUUAGCUCGGCCUGAUCUGUGGACGUGGCAGCCGGCCUGGAGAGGAUGAGUUCCACGGAGGUUCAUUUCUUUUUCUAUGCUAGAUUCAUUUUUAACAAUGAUGGUAGUAAUGAGUUAAGGGCGAUGAUGAGUUUUACAUUUAAUUUUUGGUUUCUGGAUACAAACAAAUGAUUGUCGCCACUGAAGCCACAUGGUCGGCAUUGAGGACUGUUUACAGCCUUAGGGGAGGCGUUUCACUGCAGAUGGCGUCCCAUUUUCCCCAGCGGCGCAUUUGGCGGUUUCUUCCUCCGCUAAGUGGCGCUAAAGACUCGGUCCGCCAUUGGCAUCACGUGACCUCAACAUACCGCCUUGGAAACCCCUCGUUUCUCUUUCGGCCACUUCACCGGCAAGACCCCGGUCACCCCUCAAGCAACGCACGCGUGCAACGCGCGGGGUUUCCAUGUCCGAAGGCGCGGCGCGCGCUGCCGUCGUGGAUGGCGAAGAAGGGCGCGAGAGCGAAGGAGGAGGAGCCGCUGAAGAGCGCGAGGAAGCGGAAAACUGCCCGGGCUGCUUUCUACUGCAUGAACGAGAAGGAGCUGGUGGAGGCGGCGCUCUCGCGUCUCACCGACGCCGCCCGCGAGGAUGUCGCUCUCCCCGCUGACCGCAAGGUUGAAGACAAGGCAGCAGCCACCACUGUGAACACGGGCGAGGACCCGGCCACUGCAGAGAAGACGGCAGAGCUUUUGACAUCAGCGGAGCAGUCUUCAGACGGCGGUGAUGCCCUGGAUACAACGUGUGUUUCAGAAACAGACGUGGAGAUCAGCCCGCGGCAUCUGGGCCCUGAGGGUCAGAGGGCAGGACCUGCACGGGAUCAUGGCGGUCUGGUGAAUAUCGGACUGAAGGCUGAGGGAAAAGAGAAGGAUGAUGCCUUGCGGCUUGUGAGGGAAAUAUUUUUCACCUGAUGAUGAUGAACUCCAGCAUACGCCAUCUAGAACCACAUUUUGGUGCGGCAUUGCACAUCUUAGUCUGGAGUUCAGUGUUAAAGGAGCUGCUGUGUAUUUCAUACAGCUGACAUGAGUGAAUGGAACUCCCAUUAACACAAAUAACGUGGUAUUUUGUGAACAGAAAUGUUUUGCUGAAAGCUUUGACCAGAAAGCCGGAACAUGAGUGACGUAUAGAUGUGUAGUAGUACUUUUUAAAUUAUAAUGUGAAACCUAAAGCAAGUGGGUUUUAGGUAAAGAGAUCUUUCCACCACAAGUUUUUUCAGCUUUGAUGAAUUAUGAAGUGGCCGUGGCUGCACUGUCCUUUAUUUCCAUUAUCUUAAGCAACUUUGUACAAACGUUGAAAACUGGAAAGCCUUAAAUACCUUUGCCCGUGUUCUGGACUCUGAGAUGAGCUUCUCCGGAUAAGUGUUCAUUGUCAAGACUUUGUCUUCUUCAAACAGUGUGCACGGUUACCGUUGAGUAAAUCCUCACCUCGCCUAUGGUCGUCCAAGAUUAAACUCUUAAUUGUUUAAAAGCUAAAUAUCGGGAAAACUCCAAAAGCCGGUUUGAGCUCUGCGAGGUGCUUUAGAGUCGUCAACAAAAUCAUUUGUUAAGGAAGUAUUUCAUCCCAAGUUGUCGACAUUAAAGAUUUGUUGUAUUGUGUUCUACCACCAUUGCAUUAAAGCAAACCAUAUUACUCCAACAUUUGUUUUUAUUUUUGCAAGAUAUUUAAGCACGGAAUUACAGCAGGACACAUAAGCAGCGCAGUAUGCUCCAGUCUAUUGCACCAAAGAAGGGUUUAUCAUGAAAUAUAUUAUUGCUUUUCAGCAGCAUAUGCCUCAAGGAAUACAAUAAAAGAACCAAAAAAACAAAGUACUUUUAUUCUAAUGGUGAAGAGCAUCAACUAAACUAUAGUCCAUAGUCAAGCACUUUGGCUUCCUGAAUAAAGUUUAACCAGGUGGACUUCCCAUUCGAUCUACUCCCAUUCAGACGUCAGCCUCUUCCCGGACUUGCAAGUCAGCACAGUCGUGGCAAGCAGCUCCACUGGCACAAGCACACAUAAGUAGAACCAGACGGUCAUGUUUUCCCAGUUCACGUACGUCUGAUAGAGGGCCACAAAACUCAGAACCCCAGUCAGGACGAGCAGGCUUGACGCAGCCUGGCAGGCCGCGCUGAACCAGACCGCUGCUCUGUCUCUGCUGUAAGCUGCCAGCAGCAUGGCCAGAAGGGCAAAGGCCACGAGCACCACGGGGAUGUACAAACACAGGAGAACCGCGGUUGCCAGGAGGUUCGUUUUCAUCUCCGAUUCAUCUCCGCCGAUGGGUUCCCUGGACGAGCAGGAUGGCUCGCCAUGUUGACGCGUAGGACAAAAUUGAAAGGGACUGAUGAGGACCUCUUUGGAGACGAUGAACACACCAGCAAAGAGAACCAGGGAGGUCAACAUCUUAGUGAGGAUGAGCAG
Long non-coding RNA from Gasterosteus aculeatus aculeatus (three-spined stickleback), 2429 nucleotides. Lineage: Eukaryota; Metazoa; Chordata; Actinopteri; Perciformes; Gasterosteidae. The record is from Ensembl.